UAAGUAGAACAUAGAGAAACAUAAAAUCAAACAUGAACUGAAAAGAAAUUGAGAGACUUUAGUUCUCUAAUAUUGUUAACCUCAAUCCUCAAAUUAAUAUUUCAACGCAGGCAGAUAUAUUUAAGGGGGAAAUAGAGGAGACAAAAAUAGGAAUAAUGUUUCUUAGAUUAUUACCAACCAGAGAGGCUCGAAGCACAUAGAAAGAUGAUGAGUGACAGAUCGGCGGACGAAGAACAAACGAGUCACGACACAAGAUCUGUGAAGAACGGCGGAGAACAAAGGAAAUGAAAACAAGCAAAAUAACAUCUAGCAAUAUAAAUUUUUCCAGAAAUAAUAGUACACAAAAUAAAAACACCGAACUUGAGAUGUGAGGCUCAAAUGAAAUCAAUGAACUUUUCUCAACGAGAGAACAAUGAACCUGGGAUGAAAACAACCAACUCUGCUCAACGAGAGAAAGAAAGAGAAGGUUUGUCAUGAUAAGCUUUGUCAGAGAUUUAAAUAUUAGGGAUUGAAAUGAUGAAUUAGUUUAGGGGUUUGGAUUCAGAAGGAUUUAGGGAUUUGUGGUUGCAGGAACUCCACAGUGCGCCAAAGGAAAACGGCGAUGCGGCGAAGCAGCGAUGCUGUGAUGAAAGGGUUUUUGCGUUUUAGAAGUUUG
This 655-nucleotide long non-coding RNA is filed under the name Trifolium pratense (red clover). RNAcentral describes it as "long non-coding RNA (TPRA_LNC013057)". The record is from RNAcentral. Lineage: Eukaryota; Viridiplantae; Streptophyta; Magnoliopsida; Fabales; Fabaceae.